CUCUCAUAAACACACGCGCGCGGCACACCCUCCUCCCUCGAUCCCCUUCUUUCCCGAGAAACCCUAGGUAAAGCACUGCCGCCUCCCUCUUCCUCCCUCUCCCCGAUCCAGAUCCCUCCUCCCAUCCACAACCCCUCCUGUCCCAGUGACCCCCACAGCAGAUCGAGAGAGCCUCCCAACCUCACCGUUGAUAGAUGCACCGCCGCCAAGCAGCCACGGCCGGAUGGCUCGCCGGUGUGUGCAUUCUUCUAUGUGCGCCGCUUUGUCGUUCCCCACCCUAGCAAUCGAUCCAAGCUGCCGCUGCUUCACCGGGCUACUCAGUCUUUCCUGCGACCACGAGUGACCACCCAAGUCCACUCUCGAUCCCCAAAGCCAAAGGCAGAGCCAGCCGCCGCUGGCACCCGUUGUCUUCCCCAGCCCCGGCCUUCACUCCAUCGCUGACGCCCUCUCCCCUCCUCUCCCUCUCCGUAGAUCCUCUCGAGCAACAUUGCCCACGGGCAGAUCCGCUCCCUCCUCGCGCCGGAAACCCUAGCUAUCGGGGACCGACCGCGGACGCACGACUCGGGCUCGAACAACAGUGGUGUCAUGGAGCAGAGCUUGCUCUGUCCGGGAUGCCAUGGAUCUUGUGCGCGUGAAGCUCUUUCUUCCUCCAGCAGAAAAACGUACAAGCAGCAUCAAGGACGGACCCGGCGGAAAACCCAUGGUGCCAUCUGCAGGACAAAUCGGCGUGCUAAUCUGUCGAGCCCUUCUGAUUUCAUGUUCGCUAUCUUAUGAGAACCUGGUGUGCUAUAUGGGGAAGCAAAGCAGCAGCCCACAACUCCGACUUGCGACUCUAGAUGAAGGCACCACGACACACCAUGCUACUCCCUUGGAAGGCCGGCUGAGCGACGCGGCGGCGAAGGCAGUGAACGAGCUGCUGUCGUCGGGCGCCGCCGGCAAACUGAGUAGCCUCUGCUCCUGGGCCGACAAGGUCAGGUUUAGGUACUACUAGUCGGCGCCGCUCCACUUCAUCGACGUCACCGACAACGUCUGCAGCUACUACUACGACAGGGACUGCAAGGACGAGAAGGGCGUCAAGGGCCGCUGCGUCACCGGCGCCAUCAACAACUACACCUCCCAGCUCCUUACCUAGGGAUCAUCAUCGCCAUCUUAUAAAUCUUUCGGCCAACAUAACCUGACAGAAGCGCUCUUGUUCAUAUCAAACUUCAUGGGCGACUUCCACAAAGCCACUGCAUCUGGGGUCCUCCUCUGAAAAAGAAAGGAACACCAUCAACGUCCACUGGUACAGAAGGAAAUCUGUACUCCACCAUAGGCUAGCCUUCAUUCAUGUUUUGUCGUGAGGUCCCGGAUGUUCAAGUCGGAAGAAGCAUAGAGUUCUAGCUCAUUGGAGCUAGUUAAACUAUGAUAGCUAGCUCACGAUUUGUUCAAUGAUUUUUCUUCCGUUAAUAUUUAUCCUGUAAUCUAUCGCCUUGAACCACACUAACAUUUGCUCCAUGAUUCCCUAACUGCUCAGCAUGUUGAUCUGUUUUGAACAUCUGAAUUUUUUAUGUGUGUAGGGGGACUUAUCAUGUGGCACGCCAAGCAACAGCAAGGGGAGGGGGUCUCUGAAAUGUCGCCGCUGUCGAUCAUUGCUAGUGUCAUGGAUUGAUGAUGGAUGGUUGCUGUUAGUUUAGCUCCUUGGUAGUACCUCCUUGUCUUUCAGGCGGCGGCUGCUGCUGGUGGUAGAAAUGGUAGCUACAGUCCUAUGUACUUCUUGUGCUUGGAUUGCCCUUGGUUGAAUGUACCUACUAUUGUACCCGUGGCUGUUUAAGGAAUCCUUUUGUGUUGAAAGAAAUAAAAUUGUCACCCGUGGCUGUUUAAGAUAAAU
This 1867-nucleotide ribosomal RNA is filed under the name Triticum aestivum (bread wheat). RNAcentral's name for it is "partial small subunit ribosomal RNA". Lineage: Eukaryota; Viridiplantae; Streptophyta; Magnoliopsida; Poales; Poaceae. The record is from RNAcentral.